CAGAGUGACAAGCUGGUUAAAG
Molecule: microRNA, 22 nt
Filed under: Homo sapiens (human)
Lineage: Eukaryota; Metazoa; Chordata; Mammalia; Primates; Hominidae
Description: hsa-miR-5586-3p
Source: miRBase by way of RNAcentral